RNAcentral lists this ribosomal RNA (497 nucleotides) under uncultured bacterium. RNAcentral's name for it is "partial 16S ribosomal RNA". It matches the Rfam family "Bacterial small subunit ribosomal RNA", at positions 28 to 507 of the family's 1533-position model. The record is from RNAcentral.
GAUGAACGCUGGCGGCGUGCCUAAUACAUGCAAGUCGAGCGAACAGAUAAGGAGCUUGCUCCUUUGACGUUAGCGGCGGACGGGUGAGUAACACGUGGGUAACCUACCUAUAAGACUGGGAUAACUUCGUGAAACCGGAGCUAAUACCGGAUAACAUUUGGAACCGCAUGGUUCUAAAGUGAAAGAUGGUUUUGCUAUCACUUAUAGAUGGACCCGCGCCGUAUUAGCUAGUUGGUAAGGUAACGGCUUACCAAGGCGACGAUACGUAGCCGACCUGAGAGGGUGAUCGGAAAGAAUGGAACUGAGACACGGUCAAGACUACUAAGGGAGGAAGCAGUAGGGAAUAUUCCGCAAGAGGCGAAAGCCGGACGGAGUAACGCAGCGGGAGUGAUGAAGGGAUUAGGAUAGUAAAAAUCUGUUAUUAGGGAAGAAAAAAUGUGUAAGUAACUGUGCACGUCUUGACGGUACAUAAUCAGAAAGCCAAGGCUAACUACGUG